AAAAGAAACUAACAAGGAUUCCCUUAGUAACUGCGAGUGAAGAGGGAAAAGCUCAAAUUUAAAAUCUGGCAGUGUUUCACUGUCCGAGUUGUAACCUAGAGAAGUGUAACCUGCGCUGGACCGUGUAUAAGUCUCCUGGAAUGGAGCAUCACUGAGGGUGAGAAUCCCGUCUUUGACACGGACCACCAGUGCAUUGUGGUUGUGCUCUCAACGAGUCGAGUUGUUUGGGAAUGCAGCUCUAAAUGGGUGGUAAAUUCCAUCUAAAGCUAAAUAUUGGCGAGAGACCGAUAGCGAACAAGUACCGUGAGGGAAAGAUGAAAAGAACUUUGGAAAGAGAGUUAAACAGUAUGUGAAAUUGUUGAAAGGGAAACGUUUGAAGUCAGUCGCGUCGGUUGGGGAUCAGCCUGACAUUGUUGGGUGUACUUCCUGGUUGACGGGCCAACRUCAGUUUUGAUUGCCAGAAAAAGGCCAAAGGAAUGUGGCACCUUUGGGUGUGUUAUAGCCCUUGGUCGUAUAUGGUGGUUGGGACUGAGGAAAGCAGCGUGCCGAAAGGCCGGGUUUCGACCACGUUCACGCUGAGGAUGUUGGCAUAAUGGCUUUAAGCGACCCGUCUUGAAACACGGACCAAGGAGUCUAACAUGCAUGCGAGUGUUUGGGUGGAAAACCCUUACGCGUAAUGAAAGUGAAAGUUGAGAUCCCUGUCGUGGGGAGCAUCGACGCCCGGACCAGAACUUUUGGGACGGAUCUGCGGUAGAGCACGUAUGUUGGGACCCGAAAGAUGGUGAACUAUGCCUGAAUAGGGUGAAGCCAGAGGAAACUCUGGUGGAGGCUCGUAGCGAUUCUGACGUGCAAAUCGAUCGUCAAAUUUGGGUAUAGGGGCGAAAGACUAAUCGA
Molecule: ribosomal RNA, 894 nt
Filed under: Amanita flavorubens
Lineage: Eukaryota; Fungi; Basidiomycota; Agaricomycetes; Agaricales; Amanitaceae
Description: partial 28S ribosomal RNA
Source: RNAcentral